RNAcentral lists this ribosomal RNA (274 nucleotides) under uncultured bacterium. Its description in RNAcentral is "partial 16S ribosomal RNA". It matches the Rfam family "Bacterial small subunit ribosomal RNA", at positions 523 to 796 of the family's 1533-position model. The record is from RNAcentral.
AUACGAAGGGCCCAAGCGUUAAUCGGAAUCACUGGGCUUAAAGCGUACGUAGGCGGACUCGCAGGCACCUUGUGAAAUCCCUCGGCUCAACCGAGGAACUGCUUGGUGAACCGCGCGUCUUGAGGCAAGUAGGGGCUGUCGGAACGAUAGGUGGAGCGGUGAAAUGCGUUGAUAUCUAUCGGAACGCCGAAGGCGAAGGCAGACAGCUGGGCUUGUUCUGACGCUGAGGUACGAAAGCGUGGGGAGCGAACGGGAUUAGAAACCCGGGUAGUCC